This 504-nucleotide unclassified non-coding RNA is filed under the name Hevea brasiliensis (rubber tree). The record is from RNAcentral. Lineage: Eukaryota; Viridiplantae; Streptophyta; Magnoliopsida; Malpighiales; Euphorbiaceae.
GGGGAGGAGAGGAAAACUAAGGUAUAUUAUUUGUAAAUACAUCACUGGCAUUAGCAUUAUAAUUGUGUCUUAGUGUUAUUUACAGGUAUUUAUGUGAAUAUAUGUUGUGUUCCUUUUUGUUUGAAUUCCACGUGAUACAUUGUGACUUGAAAUUUUUCGGUGUACUGUAUUGAAAUGAUACUCUGAAACUUUGCUUUUAGUUUGGCCUUUAUAUGCUUUGUGGUAAUUACCUCAAUUUAGCAAUUGACAUGGCAUGUGCUGUGAAAUAAAUGGUGGCUGUUGCUUUCUAAAGGAAUUAAUGAUUUUUUGGAUAGCAUUAAAUAGAUUCAUUUUAAGUUCAUUUCAUUUUAUUUAUUUAUUUUCGUAUGGUUGAUUAUGUCUGCCGUUGAAGUGAUAGGAUUUAAGGAAUUAAUGAAACUGGUCUGUGCAAUGCAAUGCAAUAGGAUAUCUAUGGUUGAUAAUUCUGUCUUCUAUUGGAACAGCAUUUAAAGAAGAACCGAGAUC